CGCACCACUUUUCUGGUUUUUUUUUUCUUCAUUUCACUUCACCAAUUUGGACUAUUUUUUCUUACCCAGUCGGAGGUGAUUUGGGUGGCAGUGGUGCUUAUGGCUGUGUGUGUGGCUGCAGCUUUGGUUGUCAUCUUCAGGUGGAGGAUUAUUUUUCAGGAAAUCCGUCAACACAGGAAAUGUGGUGCAAGCAAACAGUGAUUCCACCCAGUUCCGAACUUUUCUGCCUGCCCUGACCUCAAGCCUGCCUGCCGUCCUGUACUCAUCUGACUCUGACCUGGUUUACAAACUUCUGCCUGUCCUCGACCUGCCCCCUUAUCUAUUAAUAAAUAUCAGAGA
This is a long non-coding RNA of Oncorhynchus nerka (sockeye salmon), 339 nucleotides long. RefSeq lists it as uncharacterized. The transcript is spliced from 4 exons. The record is from RefSeq and is a predicted model, not a curated record. NCBI's taxonomy places the organism in Eukaryota, Metazoa, Chordata, Actinopteri, Salmoniformes, Salmonidae.